This 254-nucleotide ribosomal RNA is filed under the name uncultured bacterium. RNAcentral describes it as "partial 16S ribosomal RNA". It matches the Rfam family "Bacterial small subunit ribosomal RNA", at positions 524 to 776 of the family's 1533-position model. The record is from RNAcentral.
UACAGAGGUCUCAAGCGUUGUUCGGAUUCAUUGGGCGUAAAGGGCGCGUAGGCGGCGGGGUCAGUCGGGUGUGAAAUCUUGGGGCUUAACCCCGAAACGGCACUCGAAACUGCCCGGCUGGAGGGCCGGAGAGGAGAUCGGAAUUCACGGUGUAGCAGUGAAAUGCGUAGAGAUCGUGAGGAAGACCCGUGGCGAAGGCGGAUCUCUGGACGGAUAACUGACGCUGAGGCGCGAAGGCCAGGGGAGCAAACGGG